GCCUGGGUGGCUCAGUCGGUUGAGCGUCCGACUUCGGCUCAGGUCAUGAUCUCACGGUCUGUGAGUUCGAGCCCCACAUCGGGCU
RNAcentral lists this transfer RNA (85 nucleotides) under Felis catus (domestic cat). It matches the Rfam family "tRNA". Rfam says of the family: Transfer RNA (tRNA) molecules are approximately 80 nucleotides in length. Their secondary structure includes four short double-helical elements and three loops (D, anti-codon, and T loops). RNAcentral also lists the same sequence under 3 other names. The record is from Rfam by way of RNAcentral. Lineage: Eukaryota; Metazoa; Chordata; Mammalia; Carnivora; Felidae.